GGGAGGCCGGGAGGGGUCCCUGGGCGGGGAGUUGCUGCGCAUCUGUUGUGUGUGUGCGUCUGUCUGUCUGUUCAGGUCUGUUUUAGGCUGUGUCUGUCUGUCUGUCUGGGUCUGUUUCAGGCUGUGUCUGUCUGUCUGUCCGGGUCUGUUUCAGGCUGUGUCUGGGUCUGUUUCAGGCUGUGUCUGUCUGUCUGUCCGGGUCUGUUUCAGGCUGUGUCUGUCUGUCUGUCCGGGUCUGUUUCAGGCUGUAUGUGUGUCUGCUCUUUGCUUCUGCUCCUGGCUCUGUGUGUAUUUCCCGGGUCCUGUG
This 307-nucleotide long non-coding RNA is filed under the name Homo sapiens (human). RNAcentral's name for it is "HSALNT0395738". Lineage: Eukaryota; Metazoa; Chordata; Mammalia; Primates; Hominidae. The record is from RNAcentral.